RNAcentral lists this ribosomal RNA (701 nucleotides) under uncultured bacterium. Its description in RNAcentral is "bacterial SSU rRNA". It matches the Rfam family "Bacterial small subunit ribosomal RNA", at positions 111 to 812 of the family's 1533-position model. The record is from RNAcentral.
UAACACGUAUGCAACCUGCCCUCUUCAGGGGGACAACCUUCCGAAAGGGAGGCUAAUCCCGCGUAUAUCGGUUUCGGGCAUCCGAGAUCGAGGAAAGAUUCAUCGGAAGAGGAUGGGCAUGCGGCGCAUUAGCUUGACGGCGGGGUAACGGCCCACCGUGGCGACGAUGCGUAGGGGUUCUGAGAGGAAGGUCCCCCACACUGGUACUGAGACACGGACCAGACUCCUACGGGAGGCAGCAGUGAGGAAUAUUGGUCAAUGGGAGAGAUCCUGAACCAGCCAAGCCGCGUGAGGGAAGACGGCCCUAUGGGUUGUAAACCUCUUUUGUCGGAGAACAAAACCCGGGACGUGUCCCGGACUGCGUGUAUCCGAAGAAAAAGCAUCGGCUAACUCCGUGCCAGCAGCCGCGGUAAUACGGAGGAUGCGAGCGUUAUCCGGAUUUAUUGGGUUUAAAGGGUGCGUAGGCGGUCCGUUAAGUCAGCGGUAAAAUUGCGGGGCUCAACCCCGUCGAGCCGUUGAAACUGGCAGACUUGAGUUGGCGAGAAGUACGCGGAAUGCGCGGUGUAGCGGUGAAAUGCAUAGAUAUCGCGCAGAACUCCGAUUGCGAAGGCAGCGUACCGGCGCCAGACUGACGCUGAGGCACGAAAGCGUGGGGAUCGAACAGGAUUAGAUACCCUGGUAGUCCACGCAGUAAACGAUGA